UAAGUUGGUUUGUUUGACAUGCUAUUGUAGCUGAUUUUUUUGUUUUUGUUUUCUAGAUUGAACCAGGUAGUCAGACUGAGCAAGCUCCUCCAUCAACUGUAUUUUUGUUGGCUCCUGGGGAUAUGCAUGGUUUCAGAUUCUUGACCAUCUCAGUUGCACCUAGUCCGGAAGGCCUUCACCUGCUACUUCCAUGGCAGUUGGACAAUUCUUUAUUCCAAAAGAUGGGGAAUUAGAGUUGUCUCAUCAGUUGUUGCUUCUCUCAACUUAUUCUCCGAAGGACAUAAUAUUGAAGGAGGACCAUCCUCUUGAUUUCAAUAUGUCAUUUGCUAUUAGCUUAGGUCUUUUUCCUGUUAAACUAUCUCUGGAAACUACAGGAUGUGGAAUAAAAAAAUCUGUACUCCCCGUUGAAGAGGCUGGAGAUCUGGAGAAUGGCAGUAAGGCUUUCUUUAUGUAUUUAUUUUCCAUGAAGUC
Non-coding RNA from Camellia sinensis, 471 nucleotides. The record is from RefSeq and is a predicted model, not a curated record. Lineage: Eukaryota; Viridiplantae; Streptophyta; Magnoliopsida; Ericales; Theaceae.